Molecule: non-coding RNA, 92 nt
Filed under: Deltaproteobacteria bacterium
Lineage: Bacteria; Pseudomonadati; Myxococcota; Myxococcia
Description: c-di-GMP sequence
Rfam family: c-di-GMP-I riboswitch aptamer
About the family: GEMM was predicted in a large-scale screen for bacterial structured RNA regulatory elements. Genes associated with GEMM are involved in a diverse array of functions, including chemotaxis regulation, signal transduction, secretion and chitin.
Source: RNAcentral
ACUGGGAAAGGGCAAACCGCCUGAAAAGACGGGACGCAAAGUUACUGGCCUAAGUCUUUUUGUUAGGGGGAUAGGGUGGCAGAACUGCCGAA